RNAcentral lists this long non-coding RNA (400 nucleotides) under Hordeum vulgare. RNAcentral's name for it is "long non-coding RNA (HVUL_LNC006332)". Lineage: Eukaryota; Viridiplantae; Streptophyta; Magnoliopsida; Poales; Poaceae. The record is from RNAcentral.
CCCGAAUCUGCAUGGGUCAAACAUUUCACGUGUAAUUUUACCUGAAUUUUAGGACACUCAAAUUAUUUUUUACUAUCUACUAAGGAAGCACAUGCUCCUGCAUUCCAUUUUAUCUAUAUUUGUCAUUCUUACUUGUUGAAUAUCUACCAUAUGAUUACGACUUAUGACCCGCUGAUGUAGAUUCCCUUUUAAUUUGCAGGGACUUUAUUCAUGUUUCUCCUGAGCUCCAGGAUGAAGAAGUUGGAAAAAGAAAUGCAUGCUGGAUCCUGGGAGGUGUAGGACUUUGUUGUAAUGCCCUUUUUUCUGGGAAUUUUGUUGUACUGGUGAUUUUGCUGAGAAUUUGGUGUAUAUUUUCUUGCCACCAUGUUUACUUUAAAUUUAUUUUUGGAUUGGAAAAUAU